RNAcentral lists this long non-coding RNA (1101 nucleotides) under Oryctolagus cuniculus (rabbit). RNAcentral's name for it is "lncRNA (ENSOCUG00000031145.1)". Lineage: Eukaryota; Metazoa; Chordata; Mammalia; Lagomorpha; Leporidae. The record is from RNAcentral.
AUGCUCAGGACAGCUGGAGCUAGGACAGCCAGGGCUAGGACGGCAGCUGGGGGCCAGGAACUCAAUCCUGGUCUCCUACGUGGGUGGCAGGAGCCCAGUUUCUUGAGCCACUACUGCUCCCUCCCAGGACGUGCCCGAGCAGGAAGCAGCAGUCGCGAGUGGAGCUGGGUAGGGAACCGAGGUCCUCUGGUGUGGGACUCAGGUGUCUUAACCAGAGUCCUGACCGCUGGGCUGAAUGCCUCCCCACCCUCUCCCCUUCUGGCUCUUAUUCUUCAUGGACACUCAUUGUCCUCCGGAUUCCAUGCACCUGCUGCACACACCACCCCUGCGCGGUGGCAGGUCUGGCUCACGCACACUGUGCUGUAUCCGUUCAUUUAUUGCCUGGUGCACACCCGUAUCCCGCCGCCUCCAGCCUACCCGGCAGCUCCUCCUCUUGCCUCUGACCCUGCUGGGCCCCAGGGUUUGUCAACAACAGGCUCUGACUCACCCGGUGAUGCCAGGGCUCUUCCCAGGCACACUGCCUGGGGCUGGCCUCACCUGCACUCGGCCCCUGGCCUUGGCCGCAGGCCCUCCAGCCCACUCUGUCCUCCUACUCACCUCGAAUUUGGCAGGAGGCGUGAAGGCCUGUGCCAGGGCGAAUUGGCAGAGAGACACAGACAGGGGAAUCGGACGUUUUUGCAACGACAACAAAAACGUAAGCGAACAGAGAGCAGCUUAUUGAGCGUUGUCUUUCAGAGCCUUCUCCCGGGGGAGACACUGGGUCCAGCUCUGCUCUGCUGGCCCUGCAGCUUCUGGAAUCUUCUAUGGGAGUUCCCAGGAAGCUACAAGUCCAUGGCGUCCAGGCCCAGCCACACCUGGAGUCACAUAGGGAGCUUUCAGAAAUCCUGUACUGGAGUCCCACCCGAGACUCGGAGGGGUGGGCUCCUGCCGUACCCUGCAGAAGCCCCCUGGGAAACCCUGACAUGCUCCAAGGUUGAGCCUCUCCUGCUCCCCGCCCCCCAUUCCUGGGCACUGUCUGGGGACUCCAGGAGCAUGCUAUGGACGGCCAGGGGACCCUGCAGCCCCGGUGGAGUCACCCGUCCUUGGAGGUUGAGUACUUAG